Molecule: transfer-messenger RNA, 119 nt
Filed under: Alphaproteobacteria bacterium
Lineage: Bacteria; Pseudomonadati; Pseudomonadota; Alphaproteobacteria
Description: partial transfer-messenger RNA
Rfam family: Alphaproteobacteria transfer-messenger RNA
About the family: Bacterial tmRNA, also known as 10Sa RNA or SsrA, is named for its dual tRNA and mRNA-like properties. Its role is to liberate the mRNA from a stalled ribosome.
Source: RNAcentral
ACGCUUGAAAUCACGCCGCGCAGUCUCUAUAUUAGUUGUUGCCGGGCAACCGGCUAUGGCGAUAAACGGACGUGCAAUAAGCGUAUCGGACCCGGGGGCGGUACCCGGCGCCUCCACCA